Molecule: long non-coding RNA, 980 nt
Organism: Sebastes umbrosus (honeycomb rockfish)
Lineage: Eukaryota; Metazoa; Chordata; Actinopteri; Perciformes; Sebastidae
Exons: 8
Source: RefSeq, a predicted model, not a curated record
CAGCUAUCUGCCAGAAUCUGUGGGUGGAGGCGGUACCUGCAGGUUGCUGGCAGAGGCUGUAGGUGGAGGUUUGGCCGUAGCUGUCUGCCAGAAUCUGCAGGUGGAGGCGGCAGCUGCAGGUUGCUGGCAGAGGCUGUAGGUGGAGGUUUGGCAGAGGUUGCAUGUGGUGGAGGUUGGACUUUUGGCGCAUUUGUCUGCAGCUGUCUGCCAGAAUCUGCAGGUGGAGGCAGUACCUGCAGGUUGCUGGCAGAGGCUAUAGAUUGAGGCUUGGCAGAGGUUGCACAUGGUGGAGCUGGUAGAGGUUGGACUUUUGGCGCAUCUGUCUGCAGCUGUCUGCCAGAAUCUGCAGGUGGAGACGGCAGCUGCAGGAAGCUGGCAGAGGCUGUAGGUGGAGGUUUGGCCGUAGCUGUCUGCCAGAAUCUGCAGGUGGAGGCGGCAGCUGCAGGAUGAUGGCAGAGGCUGUAGGUGGAGGUUUGGCCGUAGCUGUCUGCCAGAAUCUGCAGGUGGAGGCGGCAGCUGCAGGUUGCUGGCAGAGGCUGUAGGUGGAGGUUUGGCUGUAGCUGUCUGCCACAAUCUGCAGGUGGAGGCGGUACCUGCAGGUUGCUGGCACAGGCUAUAGGUGGAGGUUUGGCAGUAGCUGUCUGCCACAAUCUGCAGGUGGAGGCGGCAGCUGCAGGUUGCUGGCAGAGGCUGUAGGUGGAGGUUUGGCCAUAGCUGUCUGCCAGAAUCUGUAGGUGGAGGCGGUACCUGCAGGUUGCUGGCAGAGGCUGUAGGUGGAGGUUUGGCCGCAGCUGUCUGCCACAAUCUGCAGGUGGAGGCGGCAGCUGCAGGUUGCUGGCAGAGGCUGUAGGUGGAGGUUUGGCUGCAGUUGUCUGCCACAAUCUGCAUGGUGGAGGCGGCAGCUGCAGGAUGAUGGCAGAGGCUGUAGGUGGAGGUUUGGCCGUAGCUGUCUGCUAGAAUCUGCAGGUGGAGGCAGUGGC